GAGGUCGGUUUAACUGACUUUUAAUCAGGUGGUCGCGGGUUCGAGUCCCGCCCGGCUCACCA
RNAcentral lists this transfer RNA (62 nucleotides) under Bryobacteraceae bacterium. RNAcentral describes it as "tRNA-Ser". It matches the Rfam family "tRNA", at positions 15 to 71 of the family's 71-position model. Rfam says of the family: Transfer RNA (tRNA) molecules are approximately 80 nucleotides in length. Their secondary structure includes four short double-helical elements and three loops (D, anti-codon, and T loops). Lineage: Bacteria; Pseudomonadati; Acidobacteriota; Terriglobia; Bryobacterales; Bryobacteraceae. The record is from RNAcentral.